This 76-nucleotide transfer RNA is filed under the name Gemmatimonadota bacterium. Its description in RNAcentral is "Gemmatimonadetes bacterium (marine metagenome) tRNA-Lys". The stretch from base 8 to 65 matches the Rfam family "tRNA", at positions 8 to 63 of the family's 71-position model. From Rfam's summary of the family: Transfer RNA (tRNA) molecules are approximately 80 nucleotides in length. The record is from RNAcentral. Lineage: Bacteria; Pseudomonadati; Gemmatimonadota.
GCCUCGCUAGCUCAACUGGCAGAGCAACUGACUCUUAAGCAGUAGGUCCUCGGUUCGAUCCCGAGACGGCCCACCA